UCGCGAAUCUUCCACAAUGCACGAAAGUGUGAUGGAGCGACGCCGCGUGUCGGAUGAAGGCCUUCGGGUCGUAAACGACUUUUAUCAGGGAAGAAUUUUGACGGUACCUGAAGAAUAAGGGGCUGCUAACUCUGUGCCAGCAGCAGCGGUAAUACAGAGACCCCGAGCAUUAUCCGGAUUUAUUAGGCGUAAAGCGUUCGUAGGCGGUUUCGUAGGUCAUUUGUUAAAUCUUCAGGCUUAACCUGGAGGC
Molecule: ribosomal RNA, 250 nt
Filed under: uncultured bacterium
Lineage: Bacteria
Description: partial 16S ribosomal RNA
Rfam family: Bacterial small subunit ribosomal RNA
Source: RNAcentral